AGGAUGAACGCUAGCGGCAGGCUUAACACAUGCAAGUCGAGGGGUAUGGUAGCAAUACCAGAGACCGGCAAACGGGUGCGGAACACGUACACAAUCUACCUUUAUCUGGGGCAUAGCCCGGAGAAAUCCGGAUUAACUCCCCAUAAUAUAGUUGAGUGGCAUCAUUUGAUUAUUAAAAAUUCAUUGGAUAGAGAUGAGUGUGCGUCCCAUUAGCUAGUUGGUAGGGUAACGGCCUACCAAGGCGACGAUGGGUAGCUGGUGUGAGAGCACGACCAGCCACACGGGCACUGAGACACGGGCCCGACUCCUACGGGAGGCAGCAGUGAGGAAUAUUGGUCAAUGGACGCAAGUCUGAACCAGCCAUGCCGCGUGAAGGAUGAAGGCCUUCUGGGUUGUAAACUUCUUUUACCUGGGAAGAAACCUCUUUUUUUCUAAGAGAGUUGACGGUACCAGAGGAAUAAGCACCGGCUAACUCCGCGCCAGCAGCCGCGGU
This 493-nucleotide ribosomal RNA is filed under the name uncultured bacterium. RNAcentral's name for it is "SSU rRNA". It matches the Rfam family "Bacterial small subunit ribosomal RNA", at positions 26 to 521 of the family's 1533-position model. The record is from RNAcentral.